Molecule: long non-coding RNA, 325 nt
Filed under: Pan troglodytes (chimpanzee)
Lineage: Eukaryota; Metazoa; Chordata; Mammalia; Primates; Hominidae
Description: lincRNA
Source: RNAcentral
UAAAUCCCAAGUAAGGUACCUGCCGUCGGCAGAUUUGAGCUUUCUUCUUGGACACCUCAUACCCACAGUCCUCCAGGAUAACUUCAGGAAGUGGGUAUUAAUUCUCACGGUAUAAGUGAAGACAUUAAGCACCAGAGUUUAAGUAGCUUGAUCCACUGAAAGAGAUUCAACUGUGUGGAACCUAUGCCACGGAGAAUUGCUUUCUGCCAUUGUUAUCGUCCAGCAGUUGCCGAAUAUCUCUGACCUGAGCAAAGCAGUGAAACGCGGUGCUGUUGAGUGGGUUGCCACUGCACCUUUUUCAACUACUCUAGUCUUGUGGAGAAAA